This 403-nucleotide ribosomal RNA is filed under the name uncultured bacterium. RNAcentral's name for it is "partial 16S ribosomal RNA". It matches the Rfam family "Bacterial small subunit ribosomal RNA", at positions 28 to 526 of the family's 1533-position model. The record is from RNAcentral.
GACGAACGCUGGCGGCGUGCCUAAUACAUGCAAGUCGAACGCAGUGGGGACGGGUGCGUAACACGUGGGUAACCUCCCAUCAGAGGGGAUAACCCUUGGAAACAGGCGCUUAACCGAUACUGAUGGAUGAACUCGCGGUGCAUUAGCUAGUUGGUGUGGUAACGGCUCACCAAGGCCACGAUGCAUAGCCGAACUGAGAGGGUGAUCAGCCACACCGGGACUGAGACACGGCCCAGACUCCUACGGGAGGCAGCAGUAGGGAAUGUUCAGCAAUGGGCGAAAGUCUGACCGAGCAACGCCGCGUGAGUGAAGAAGGUUUUCGGAUCGUAAAACUCUGUUGUUAGAGAAGCGGUAUCUAACCAGAAAGCCACGGCUAACUACGUGCCAGCAGCCGCGGUAAUAC